CAUAUGUACGUCUCUAAACUUUCUUAUGAUUCUUUCUGUUAUUUUGUUCUCACUAUUCGUAACUACAUCUAAAUGGCAAACACCUUUCUAAAUCAUGUUCUCUUAUUUAUUGUUGCGGAAACAAAUGAUUCCUAAAUACAUCUAUAUUUUAAAUUUUUAUCUAAUCCGUUUAUUCUUAUUAUAUUGAAGGGUAACAAGAUUCAUGCAUCAUGUAAGAAGACAUACUUUGAUCGUUUGGAGAAUAAAGUACCUGUUGGUGCUUGGAGAAACAUUGACAAUUUCUUGGUGACUAAUAAUGGCGGUAGUUACAAGACUACAAAUCACCAUUACAAGAUUGUCUUCAUUCCCACCACUGACAUCACUCCUUCAACACUGCAAGAGGAAAACAUGUUCCUUAGUUUGGUUGACUUUGAAAGCAUUCAAAGUGGAAAACUUGAUACAACCAACUUAAUUGAUGUUAUUGGACAAGUGUUUGAGUUGGGAGAUCUGGAAACUGUGCAGUGUCACGGUAAAGAAAGAAAGAAAAUCGAGUUCAGCUUGAGAGACAUCAGGUAAUAUAUUAAUUUAUGUAUUUCUUAUAUCAUAUAUUUUUUUAAGCUAUUAAUAUAUGUUUUCAACAGUGAUCAAAAGAUACCUUGCUGCCUUUGGGGAAAGUUUGCUGAAGCAAUACACAGUUUCAGCCAACAAUCUGAAGAAGAAAUUGUUGUAUGCCUAAUACGUUUUGCUAAAAUCGGGACCUAUCGAAGUAAUCUCAUAUCAUUUUCUUUUUAUAUAAAAUAAUACCGUGUUUAUUAUUUUUCUUGAAUAAGAGCGUUACUGAUUUUUUAUUACUAUUGAUAAUAUGCAGACCAGGUUCAGAUAUCCAAUGCGUUUGAUGCAUCUCAGGUCGUUUUCAACCCACCAAUAAAGGAGACAGAUGAGUUUAUGAAAAGGUUUUGAUAACAGAUUAAUAAAUUAGAUAAAGCUCAAGGAAUAUUAUGACAAAUCUAUGUUAAUUUAUGUUUUUACAGGGUUGAACCGUCCAAUGCUUUGACAACAUUUCAAUCUGAAAAAGACAAAAUUGAGAGGGAAUUAAGACGUGAUAAGUGGUUGCUUUUCCCUCAGAAAGACAUUGCAGAGCUUCUUGCAUCAUCUCACAAAUGCACAGUUAUGCAAUUUGACAUAUGUAAUAUAGUUAUCAAAAAUUAUAUUAAAGUAACAUUUAACACAAAUAUGAUUAAAACAACACAAACAUAAAAUUAAAAUUAAAAAUAAAAUAAAACAAAAAUAUACCCGCCCUUGGAAGGGCGGGUCAGAAUCUAGUGGAAUGUUAAAGGGGAAUAAAUGGGGAGAGAGAGAGAGAGAGAGAGAGAGAGAGAGAGAGAGAGAGAGAGAGAGAGAGAGAGAGAGAGAGAGAGAGAGAGAGAGAGAGAGAGAGAGAGAGAGAGAGAGAGGAGAGAGAGAGAGAGAGAGAGAGAGAGAGAGAGAGAGAGAGAGAGAGAGAUUACGGAGAAUUUACUAAAUAAGAUUUGCCAAACUUGCUUGUUCUCCAAAUUACCAUGUAGUAAUGGAUUUUGUGGAGGAACUGAAAUCUCACCAUGUAGUAAUGGAUUUUGUGGAGGAACUGAAAUAUCAUCAUCAUCGAUAGAUCUUGCAACCUACCACCAAUCUAGGAACUAAAAGUAGAGUUAGCUAUAGGAAUAAAAAAAGUUCCGGUUUUACAGUAUUUUCUUUAUAGUGUAAAAUUUGGUGUACGAUUAUAAAUGAUUUUGCUAUAUAAAUAACGUUUAAAGAAAUUAUAGUAAUAUAAGAGACACCCUAAAUUUUAACUUGGUAUAGUUGUUGAUUAGAUGAUCAGAUUAGUUCAACCGAUUCACAUUAUAUUUCAUUUUCAAAAAUAUCUUUUAGUUUAAGUUAACUUUUAAAAUAACAAAGUCAUAUUUUUUUUUUACUAUUCCAGUAAAAAAAUAUAGAUAACUGAUAAAAUAAAUUUUUAUCAAACUAUAUGUUGAACUUGAUGAACCCAGCUUUUAUACUGACCCAAAUAACCAGUUUUGGUUGGUUUUGCUGGUUUAAUUCAAAUUUCGGUCUUAAACCAACUCGGAUUUAGUUUAUUUAACAGUCAAGGUAGGAUGGAGGUUUAGUUUGAAAACAUUGUCUAAAUCAUAUCUAAAAUGAGAAAAAGAUCAAACAAAUAUUCAGUUUAUACAGUUUCUCUGAGAAAAGUACAAUACUCUACUAAACUUAUGAGAUCGAGCCAAAUUAGAUAUAAAUUUAGUGAAUAUUAUUUUUUUACUUAACAAGCAUUUAUUUUUAAUAGAAAUCAAAUCGAUGUAGUUUCAAUAAAAUAAGAAAAAGCAACAAAAAUCACAGUAACAAUAUUGAACUUACACAAUGUAGCCAUAAGAAAGCACAAACACAUAAUUGAUCCAAAAAUAUAUAUAUUCUUGUUUUGGAUGAGACAGUGAUUGGUUCAGAUUAGUUUUUCCAGGUUUUCAGGUUUAUAAUGUUAGAUAUAAAUUUAGUCGACAUUGAUUUUAACUUAAUUGUCAAUUAUUUUAACGUGAUUAGAAAUCUUAGCAACCCAUUUAUAUUGGGGGAAGUUUUCCAAGUUCAACGUCUUAAGCUCCAUUUGGAUAGAAUUCAGUGCAUGUUAGGUUUGAUUAAUAACACUUGGGGUUCAUAUAUAAUUUUUACUCAUUCCAAAAAUCAUAAUGUAACUCAUUCCAAAAUUCAUAGUGUAACCAUACUAAUUUUUAGAUAAUAUGAAAUUAAGUAUUUGAGUAUACUCAUUUAGAUUUCAAAAGCUUAUUUCAAAAAAUAAUUUGGAUCUUCAUAUCAGGUUAUUUAAAAAAAAAUCAGGUUUCAAUUCUAGGUAACCUAUAUGGAUUCUGUUAAUAAUACCUCCAUUUUCAAAUGUGUUUUAUAUCAUCCUACAAGAUUCUUUCAGGUAUUUUUACAUCUUGGAUCAGGUACAAAUUCAUUUCUUUUAGUUUGGUUUGGUUUUUCUUUUCUUUUUAAUGUAAAUUUUGUCGGUUUUUCAUUUUUUUUAAACGAUGAAAUUUUUAUUUAUUUUAAAGAUUAACGUUAAAUGAAAAUUCAUAUUGACUACAUAUAUAUAUAUAUUUGGCUUGAUCAACACAAGUUUAUUAAAAUUUCAGAUUAAUGAAGUGUUUUGUGGUUAUUUUGGGAAAACUCUAAAAUUCAAUAUAUUUUUUAUAAUAUUUUCUCUAUCUAUAAUAAAUUGUAGGAACAAAUUUAGCAGCAGUAACAUAAAUAUCUUCGUUUUUUACCUUCUGAAUUUCAUCAAAAUUUUAUGUCCAAAAGCUCCCUAAGAACCUUCCCACCGAAGGAACCGUUAGAAGAACCGGCUUUCAUUGACAAAGAGUUCAACGAUCCAUGAAUGAUGUCCAUUAGUCACAUAAGAGUGAACCAAUAUUUGUAUUGUUACACUUUGAGCAAUGAAAGACGCUCAUCUAUUCUCUUCAAAUUUAACCGCCAUGAGCUGAUACUCCCCCAUCAAGUUUAGCUUCAGCUUAAUAUCCUCACCAUGAUGCCUAAACGCAGGCUAAUCAUGAGGUUUUCCUAUUGCACAAAACAUCUCUUUAAAAUCACCAGCAAAAAUAAUUUUAUUGAGAUGCAAGCUGAUCAUGCUCUUCAUUGGCCAUAGAACUUUUUUUAACCUAGCCUCAUACUUUCUGAGAACAUUUGAGAAAGCUCGCCUACUAUGGAUUAGAAAAACACCGCUAUGAUUCCGAACCACCCAAGCUGUCCCCAGUAGUCUCUUAUCCUUGUCCCAAUAAAAUGCCACAUUACACAUCAACCACCCUUGAUGUGGAAGUCUCCAAUGACUUAUGUUUUGAUCCUUUAUUUUAUCCACUUCGUUUGACACUUCUCUCUCCACUAACUGAGCUAAGAACCAUUCUACUGAUUCAUUUUUGGCCUUAAUUUGAAUCUCCAUUGAUGACCAUAUUUUGCCAUUAAACAAGAAAUCAUAUUUACUCUUCCAUAUAAACCACAACAGCCACAGCCAAGCUCUUUUGUCAUCCAUCUUCUCAACGACGACAUAUUUUAAAUUUAAAAGGUAGUUGAUGUUAGUGAAGACGUUGGCUUCCUGAAAACCAUUUUCUGGUUGAGGAAUUCCAGAGAGAGCCCAAACCUGUCUUUUUUCUGAGCAUUUAAAAAGCGUGUGAUGAAUUGAUUCUCCAUCCAGUCCACACAACUGACAUCUUUCAUCCACCUUCAUUCCUUUAGCACUAAUUAAGUCCGAAACAGGCAGUGCGUCACUCAGCAUUUUCCAUACGAAAAUUCUGAUGCUGGGAGCCGUAUGUAUCUUCCACACCUUCUCAUUUAUAAUGUUCAGAGAAGGAAGAGCAAGAACUUCAGACUAAUAAGUUUAAAUCUUCGAUUCACGAGCCAGCCAGCAAGCGGAUUUCACUGACAGAUUACCAAUUCUAUUAUGUUUCCAGGACAAGGAAUCCACUCGAGAAAUAACCGGCUGCUUGGCUAUGAUCAUUUUGAUGUCACCUGGAAAAAAAAAAUUCCUGAAGCGCCUGAAUAUUACAUAUUCUUAUAGUAGAGUCAAUGAGUGAACUAGCCAUCAGAUUCAAAUCAAAUAGAUAAUUCUGAAUCCAAGGCUUUCUCAUGCCUAGAUCAGGGUCCUCCACCCACUUAUCAUUCUACACACUCGUGUUUGACUAUUCCCUACCUACAAUUUUAGCCUUUUUGGAGUAAUUCUCUAUCGAAGAUGAGGCUUCUCCAUGCGAAGGACGGUCUUUCACCUUCCGAAGCUGUCUAUAACUCAUAAUGAAGGUAGUGUCUACUCUUUGUAAAUAUUGCCAAGAAACACUCAAGUUGGUUAAUGAGUUUCCACCCUUGCUUUUCCAAUAAAACUUAGUUGAAGCUUUCAAGAUCUUUGAAUCCCGCUCCUCCUAAAUUCUUUGGUAAACACAAUAUUUCCCGUGAGACCCUAUAUAUCUUUUUGUGGUGAGAUUUUGAACUCCACCAGUAGUUUUCUAUCAAGCUAGAGAGUUUGGCAAUGAUAGUUUUGGGAAAUCUGAAACAGGACAUGGCGAAGACAGGGAGAGCUGAUGCCGUUUUUUCAAGAGAAUAUCCUUACCUCCCUGCGAUAACUUGUGUAAACAAGCUAUCCAAACGACAUUGAGUAUGAUAUUUAAGGUACGAUAGCAAUUCCGCUUUUGAUUCUGAGAACCAUUCACGGAGUCCUAGGUAUUUAUUGGUUCCACUUUCAUUAUACCUUCAUUAUACCUAUAAUGGCAUGUAGUUCAGCUUGCUCGUUUGCAAGAAUCAACUCUCUGAAGUUAUAGAAUUUCCGUAAGUUAAUGCACUGCCAUGUUGCUUCUCCAUAAAUCUUCAGAAUCCUUUGGACAUUCUUGCAUUGUGCUACUGAAUCUUUGCAGAGACACAUGCUCUAAUUAGAGAAGAAUAAAUUUUGAACAGAAGGACCUGAUUUCGAAAAACUCAUUCCACUCAAAAUAUUAGUUCUUUCAGCCAUGUUCAACAUGUAUGAUAGGCCUUAUGUGCAGAAAAAGAAGAGGAACGGAGACAAAGGGUCUCCUUGGCGAAUACUUCUUCUCGGUGAUAUUAGACCAAACGGCUGGUCAUUAAUUAGAACAGUAAAGGAGGCUGAAGACACACACAUCAUUAUCCAAGUAAUCGUCUGCUAAUCGAAUCCUAAAUCCUUCAUCGGAGCUCUCAAAUAACUCCAUUCCACACGGUCAUAUGCCUUAGACAUAUCAAUUUUCACCGCCAUAAACUCCUAUGCCACCAGUGAAUGGGUUUUAAGAGCAUGAACUGCCUUGUGGGAUAUUAAGAUGUUAUCAUGACUCAACCUUUCACUGAUGAAGGCCGAUUGAUUAACUGAGACAAACUCAUUUAAGAAUGGUUGCAAUCGCUUAAACAAACUUCGACACUGUUUUAUACAACACCUAGCAUAUAGUAAUAGGUCUUAAGUCUGUCAUGUUUUCUGGGUUUCGUAUCUUGGGAAGCAAGUACAAGUAAGUAAAGUUCCACUCAUCUGGUAAAGUCACCUUUUCGAAAACAUCUUAAAAUCUCUUUUGUUACAGUCUUUCCAAUGGUGGGCCAAAACUUUUAAAAGAAAAGCCUUGCCAUGCCGCCUCGGCCUGAGCACUCUUUUCUUUAACGGAAAAGAUAGUGUCUUUUACUUCUUCCUUAGAGACCUCACACGUUAGACGCUUAUUCAUAACCCGAAAACUUCAGUCUCGUACUCUAAAAUAUAGGUUCAUAAGGAGGGUUCGAGGUUGCGAAGAACUUCUAGAAAUACUCAAUGGCCACUUCCACCUUCGCAGCAGCCGACCAUUUGUUAUGGCCAUUCUUAUCUUUGAGUUUAAAUGGAGUCUUGAUCUGUUUGCCUCGACUGAGGAGUAAAAAUUUUUACAAUUUCUAUCACUAAACUUGAGCCGUUUCUCUCUACAUUUUCGCCUCUUACACAUCUCCUCUUCCUUGUAAUCAGCUCUUUUUAUGCUUGAUAUAUUAAAGAUUUUACCCACUUUUAGCCAUGAUAUAAGUGUUUUAGGAUAUAAUUAUUCUGUUUUAGAGUCUUUUUAGCAUAUUUACAGGUUCAAGAGUGUUUUGGAAGAAAAUGCUUAUUUUGGUGCAUUUAGAGAUAAAAUAAGAGGAAACCCGUAGCUGACCAUUGAACCAGUCCGGAGGUCAAUUUUCGGAGACAAACAUCGAUCGAUGCACAUCAUGUACCGUCGAUCAACAGCAAAGCGCGCAAAACCCGACUAGGUUUCUACCCGACUUAAAUCCCAAGUCACACACAUUUACAGAAAUACCCCUAGCCGAUUUUAACUUGAUAUUUAUGUGCUAUGCCUGUUCUAGGCAACACAAGCUUUUCAUAAUUUUUACUUUUCACAGCAAAUAAUACUUAGGGUUUUUAGUAGUUUGGAGAGAUGAUUCAAGAAUCCUUCAGAGAUUUGUAUUGGAACUCUAGUAUUUCUAAUUUUAUUAAGUUUAUGUAAUUUAUUCAGUUAUCUAUUAUGAUUUACUUUGCUAUGUCUGAGUAAUUCAUCUGUUAGAUUUAGGGUUCAAAUAGGUUAUGAGGGAUUUUCCCAAAAUAUAGAAUUGCUAAGGUGAUAAAUAUCCUUCAAGGAAAUGUUGUUAAUGCUUGUGUUCUAGAGUAGCAAACUAGAACCUUGACUUAGGAUUGUGGACAACUACGACGGUAGGUUCUGCACUAGAGCCUAUGCAAGUUGAUAAGGCUAUUGAAAGAAGGACCUUAAGGAGAAGGAAGGAAAAGGUUUCUAAGCAUCUUAAGAGAGGAGGCAAUGACAAAGAGAUGGAUAGUUUUACAGAGAGGAUUGUAUCCCAAUGGACAAGCCAUUUGAGGAGGCUUACUUUACCCACAAGUUGUGGAUGUUCUUCAGAGAGACUAAGAGACUGAAUAAGACAUUAGGAGAAUGUUCCACUAUGUCAGAGAAGAUGAGGCAGAGGAUUACACUGAAGAAGAAGAGUGAUCCAAGAAAGUUUGUAGUAGCAUGCUUGAUAGGAGGCAUUGAUUACCCUAGUGCGCUCUGCAACACAGGUUCUUCAGUCAACAUUCUACCAAAGGUGAUGGCAGACCAUCUAGGUCUGAAGAUAGAGUCUUCAGAGGAUUCAUUCACUUUUGUGGACUGUUUUCAGAGGAACUCAGGAGGAAUCAUCAGAAACCUUGAAGUGCAUAUUGGUAAUGUCCUAAUUCCAAUAGACUUUCAUGUCCUGGACAUCAAGCUCAACUGGAAUUCUUCUCUACUACUUGGGAGAGCCUUCAUGGCUACUGUAGGAGUAGUUUGCGACAUGCAGACCAACAAGUUGUGUCUGACACUUGUAGACCCUACUAUCUAUUAUGAUCCAGUGUCAAGACACAGACGGGAUACAUGGAGAUUGGAGAUGAUCCAGGAUUAAUUACAGUUUGUUACUGCGACCCAGAAGCUGAAGUUGAAUCGGACCAUGAAACAUCGAUCGACACUCAACCUGAAGCGUCGCUCGACAAGAAGACUGAAGCGACGAUCGACAAAGCCUUGGAAGCGCCGAUCGACAGUCACUCUGCGAACGAGAUAGACGACUUUCCAAAAGGUUCUAUCAACAGAUGGGAGAAUAAUUACUACCAACCUAGCUUCGCAAUUCAGACAGCUACACCUUCCAAAGGAAGAUUAGUGAAAAGGAGCAUGAUUAGUACGAUGAGGACUACAGAGAAGAGGAGAUCAUUGAGUAUUGUGUCCUUACCAUGGAAGAGGCAAGAGUUCUCAAGACUUCCCAUGAGACCAGGGUAGAGACAUCGAUCGACGGAAACCACAAACCAUCAAUCGAUGCUUAUCACGAGACAGAGUCAGAUGCAAGAGCAAAAGAUGAUGCAGAUUUUGGUUACCUCAGACCAAAUGAGUGGUAUUUUCAGAGAUUCAGAAGGACAAGCAUGUGCUCUGGAUUCACGAGUUAUACACAUCUCUAAAGACGUUGCUGAAAUUCUUGCAAAGGCUAGUGGAACAUGAAACCUUUUCAGCCAGCAAGACAAAAGAGAGGAUCCAGCAUCAAUCGAUAGGACAUGUCAACCAUCGAUCGACAGUCUUUACGAGUAUGGACAGAGAGCUUAUAAUCAUAGCGGCAGCAGAAGAUUCCAAUGGGAACAAAGAGAUGAAUACUGAAUAUACAGAGACGAGCAUGGAAAUGCUCGAUCUGUAGAAGGCAGAAUCAUUCAUGUGUCAAGGGAAGACAUCAGGGAGAUUUUGGAAAGAGCUGCAAUGGAUGGAUACACUCAUAUAUGUCUACCAAAAUAUGCAGAGAAAUUAACCAGAACCAUGCCAAAGCCAGACACUUACAACAGAGCAGAGAUUGAUGACAUGGUACAUGGGAACUACAGAGCCCAGGAGAUGUCAAUGAAUGACUACUACAGGAGACUCAAUGAAGUCUACUACCCAAUCAACAAAAAUAUUACCAGGUUGACUACACACAUGAAUGAGCUGAAAGAGGAGAUAGACAUAAUUCGGAGACAGAUUGAGAUCCGAGCAAAAGAAUAUCCAUCGAUCGACGAUCACACUCGACCAUCGAUGGACGCCAACAACGCAUCUUUCAGAGAAAGGCUGGUAACAGUGAAGUUGUUAGAAGACAAGCUUGAUGAGAUUAAUUUUUUUUCAAACUUGCUCAAGGAGGAGAUUUCCCUGAGAGUUGAGGACAUCUUAGAAACAACACAUGUCACACUUAGAAUGCACCAGGGCUGUAUUGGACAUCUUGAGAAAAGGAUGCAUGCUAAUGAGGUUGCUAAGGAGAUAAUGAAAAACCAGUGAAAAUAGGAGAUGAAGCCAUAAGAAGCUUCAUAUAUACAUGGUUUCAGAUGAGCAGAGAAGAUAUAGAUACUUUUUUUCCAACAAUUAGUCACUUACCUCCAUACUAGCCAAACAACCUCCAGAGAGUCAAGUUAAAUGACUAUAACAAAGCACUUAAUGGGAGGCAACCCAUUGGUAAGAUUUACUUAGUUUUAUUUUGAAUAUAUUACUGAAUUUUUCGUAUUUAAUUUAUCGCAGGUUAUAUAUAUAUACCAAGGAGACGAGUCCUCAGCACAUCCACCGAGGGGACCUAGUCGACAUGGAUCGAUAGUACUACACCGACAACGAUCAACAAACACUUUCUUGUGUCGAUCAACACUAAUAUCAUCGGGCAGGUAUAUUGUUCUUCCUUUUUGCAUUAUGUACUUAUGAUUUAUGUUCUCACCAAACUUCGACUAGAUACACACUGGGGACAAUGUUAUUUUAGUUUGGAGGGGAGGUUUACUGAUAUUUAGUUUAUCUAUGAGUUUUAUAAAAAGUUCUCAAAAAAAUUUCAUUGAGUCAAUAAGGGGACAAUGAACUUUUUCAAUUUCACUUAUUAUCUAACCAUUGUCUAGCACCACUCUUAGAUUUAUUGACUGCAUAGUGUAUUAUAGAUACUAAAGUGACCUGCCAAAUAUUCACACUUGCUGAGAAUGUUUGAAGGAACCAAAGCUGACCUCAAACCUAAUGAGCCUAAUCUUCUUGUCUUGGGGCUUAGUAUACAAUAGAUCGGAAUCCUCAUGCAAGCCAGGAAGGUCAAAUUCUGUGUGUUUCUGAUUCCCUUCUCUCUCUCUCUCUUUGGCAUCCAUAAGAAUAAAAGAUUGAAAUGAUUUCCUGCGGUUUGGAAGGGUAAGAGUGUCUCAUGCGUCCCCAUUAUUCUCUCUAAUGGAAUUAUCACACACAGUUGGAAGUGAGGGGUAGGAGUGUCUCUUGUGACCCCAUUAUUCGCCUACCCUUUUCAAAGAAAAAAGGAAGAGAAAAAUAGAUGAAUAAGAUGGACUGUAUCAGCAUCAUUGUUCAUUGGAAUUGAGAUUCAGAGAAGAGGGAAAGAGGGAAGAAAGAGAUCAAAUAAGACUACAUGUGUGUUCAGAAACUUGCUUGAGUAAGAGUCCAUGCGUCUUUUGUAUACUUCCAAGGUAAAGCCUACACUUUUAUAUAUGUAAUAAAAGAGGUCAGUAGAGGGGUUAGUCAGACAAUAUUAGCUAAUUUGCUGGUUAGAUAGAUUUGGUUGCUAAGUUAAGAUAAGGUAUAUAGAAUAUCUCUAAAGUUGGAAUUGAUUUGAUUUGGCCUGCAACAUAGUAGAGGUGAUGAUAGUGAGUUCUUAAAUUGUGUGAGUCUCUGCUGUUUUCAAACCUCUUUCAUAAAGACUACUCUAUGUUUUGCUUGAGGACAAGCAAAAGGGUAAGUCUGGCAGAGUUGAUAUACCAUGGAUUUUACCCACUUUUAGCCAUGGUAUAUAAGUGUUUUAUGGUAUAAUUAUUUUGUUUUGAAGUAUUUUUAGCAUAAUUACAGGUUCAUGAGUGUUUUGGAGGAAAGUGGUGAUUUUGGUGCAUUUUAUAGAUAAAAUGAGAGGAAGUCCCGUAACUCACUAUCGAACCAGUCCGGAGGUCAACAUUCAGAGACAAACAUCGAUCGAUGUACAUCAUGUGCCGUCGACCGACAGCGAAGCGCGAAAGACCCGACUAGGUUUCCAGCCGACUUAAAUCUCAAGUCACACACAUUUACAUAAAUACCCCUGGCCGAUUUUAACCUAAUAUUUAUGUGCUAAGUCAUUGUUCUAGGAGACACACGCUUUUUUAUACAUUCUACUUUUCACAGCAAACAAUACUUAGGGUUUUUAGUAGUUUGGAUAGAAGAUGCAAGACUCCUUAAGAUAUUUGUAUUGGAACUCCAGUAUUUCUAAUUCUAUUAUAUUUAUGCAAUUUAUUCAGUUAUCUAUUAUGAUUUACUUUGCUAUGUCUGAGUAAUUCAUCUGUUAGAUUUAGAGUUCAAAUAGGUUAUGAGGGAUUAGCCCAAAAUAGGCUAGGAUUGUUUAGAAACAAACGCUGAUCUAUACAUUACUAGCGAACCUAUCGAUCAACUCAUUAAAGCCCGUCUAAGGAAACAUCGAUCGACGCUAAUCUCAUAGCAUCGAUCGACAUUCGAUCUGUAUCAACAAGCAGAAGCAGAGAUAUUGGACUUAGUCAAAACAUAAGACUCACAUGUGAAAGCUAGAUAUCCUUACACUAGAAUUCGAGUUCUAAGAUUGACAACAUAAGUAUUCUAUACAUCUAUAAUCUUGAUUACCUGAAUAAAAACCUUAGAUCUAGGGCUUUCUAAUAAUUGUUUACAAACCUCAAACCAAUCAACUGCGCAACUGCCUUGUUCGCCUUGUUUGCUUAUUUACUGAUUUCAUAAUUUAUCUAACUUAAUCACUGCUGAUUAGGAUAUACUGUGUAUCUUAACUCUUUGUGGAUUCGAGUCCUAAAUACUACAACUGAACCUCUUAUUUGAGAGAGUAAAAAUUACUACUUAAGGUAAUUUGAGUAAUAUCAAUAUUGUUUAUAACGAAUCAACACGGAUAAGAUUUUGAUUGAAAU
This is a long non-coding RNA of Brassica rapa (field mustard), 11881 nucleotides long. RefSeq lists it as uncharacterized. The record is from RefSeq and is a predicted model, not a curated record. NCBI's taxonomy places the organism in Eukaryota, Viridiplantae, Streptophyta, Magnoliopsida, Brassicales, Brassicaceae.